AGAAACUUAAGUUAUACCAAACUAGAGACCUUCAAAGCCUCAAAUAAAGACCCCUUUAGUUUCUG
RNAcentral lists this transfer RNA (65 nucleotides) under Pseudoxenodon bambusicola. RNAcentral's name for it is "tRNA-Trp". The record is from RNAcentral. Lineage: Eukaryota; Metazoa; Chordata; Lepidosauria; Squamata; Pseudoxenodontidae.